This 484-nucleotide ribosomal RNA is filed under the name uncultured bacterium. RNAcentral describes it as "partial 16S ribosomal RNA". It matches the Rfam family "Bacterial small subunit ribosomal RNA", at positions 30 to 507 of the family's 1533-position model. The record is from RNAcentral.
AUUGAACGCUGGCGGCAGGCCUAACACAUGCAAGUCGAGCGGAUGAGGGGAGCUUGCUCCUGGAUUCAGCGGCGGACGGGUGAGUAAUGCCUAGGAAUCUGCCUGGUAGUGGGGGAUAACGUCCGGAAACGGGCGCUAAUACCGCAUACGACCUGAGGGAGAAAGUGGGGGAUCUUCGGACAUCACGCUAUCAGAUGAGCCUAGGUCGGAUUAGCUAGUUGGUGGGGUAAAGGCCUACCAAGGCGACGAUCCGUAACUGGUCUGAGAGGAUGAUCAGUCACACUGGAACUGAGACACGGUCCAGACUCCUACGGGAGGCAGCAGUGGGGAAUAUUGGACAAUGGGCGAAAGCCUGAUCCAGCCAUGCCGCGUGUGUGAAGAAGGUCUUCGGAUUGUAAAGCACUUUAAGUUGGGAGGAAGGGCAGUAAGUUAAUACCUUGCUGUUUUGACGUUACCAACAGAAUAAGCACCGGCUAACUUCGUG